Molecule: long non-coding RNA, 524 nt
Organism: Sebastes umbrosus (honeycomb rockfish)
Lineage: Eukaryota; Metazoa; Chordata; Actinopteri; Perciformes; Sebastidae
Exons: 3
Source: RefSeq, a predicted model, not a curated record
UGUGGGAGGUCAAUAUCGACACAACCCCAGCUCGGAAAAUGACUGGCCCGAGGAGCAGAGCAGUUGUUCAGGGAGAAGCCAGAUUGAGUACAUGGCAGCACUGUAACAGUAAUACUGUUCCAAGCCUGAAGGCUCUCGGUCACUGCUAUCAGUCCUCCAAGGAUCCCCGCUGAAGGUGCUUUGCUGUUUCAUGGGGCAGCAAAAAUGUAUUUUUCUGUCACCAUGCUGCUGGUCAGAAGUGGCAUCUAUCAACUGAGCCAGGGCAACCACAGUGCAGGAUGGUCCAGACAGCGGAACUCUUUCUCUAACAGACUGAUGAGCUUCGCUGUCACAAGGACCGAUACAGGAAACAUUUCCUUGCCAAAGGGAUAACUCUCUACAACACCUCACCUCUGUCAAACAGAGAACUCUCAGCUUUUUAGUUUUUUGUCUCAACCACACUCCACUCUGUUUUGCUCCUGCAAUAAUCUUGCACAUGUUGAAUUCGCAUAUCGGUUUACUGCCUCAUUUAUUUUUUAUUUAAA